GACGAACGCUGGCGGCGCGCUUAACACAUGCAAGUCGAGCGAAUCGGCGGACUGGUGAGUAACACGUGAGUAACCUGCCUUAGACAUUGGGAUAGCCUCGGGAAACCGGUAUUAAUACCAAAUGGUCUAAGAUGGACUCGCGUCCCAUUAGCUAGUUGGUGAGGUAACGGCCCACCAAGGGGACGAGUGGUAGCCGGCCUGAGAGGGUGAACGGCGACAUUGGAACUGAGAAACGGUCCAGACUCUACGGGAGGCGGCAGUGGGGAAUAUUGCACAAUGGAGGGAACUCUGAUGCAGCGACGCCGCGUGAACGAAGAAGGCUUUCGAGUCGUAAAGUUCUUUUAUAUGGGAAGCGGUACCAUAAGAAAAAGCCCCGGCUAACUACGUGCCAGCCGCCGCGGUAAUUC
This 407-nucleotide ribosomal RNA is filed under the name uncultured bacterium. Its description in RNAcentral is "partial 16S ribosomal RNA". It matches the Rfam family "Bacterial small subunit ribosomal RNA", at positions 28 to 526 of the family's 1533-position model. The record is from RNAcentral.